AACAGGAAGUCCGGCGGCGAGGAUGGAGUUGUUGCUGAAGGCCCUGUAGCAGGGGUCCCUGGUGGAAUACGAGUCUUCCCUGUUUUCGGACGGCAGGCUCCUCCCAGCAGCAGGGGCGGGACAGUGGCGGUGAAGCUCCCGCAGCCAUGCAUGACGCUUUCGAGCCGGUGCCGAUCCUGGAAAAGCUUCCCCUGCAGAUCGACUGCCUGGCUGCCUGGGAGGAAUGGCUUCUUGUUGGAACCAAGCAAGGGCAUCUUCUUCUCUACAGGAUUCGGAAGGAUGUUGCAUGUAGAAAGCUGAGGCAGGAGGAUUGUUGCAAGUUCAAGACUAGCCUGGACUACAUAAUUAGUUUCAGGUUGUAACAGGUUUGAGGUAACACUAGAGAAGUCCAAUAAGAACUUUUCCAAAAAGAUCCAGCAGAUCCAUGUGGUUUCCCAGUUUAAGAUUCUGGUCAGCUUGUUAGAAAACAACAUUUAUGUCCAUGACUUACUGACAUUUCAACAAAUCACUACAGUCUCAAAGGCCAAGGGCGCAUCACUGUUCACCUGUGACCUCCAGCACACUGAGACGGGUGAGGAGGUGUUGCGGAUGUGUGUGGCAGUGAGGAAGAAGCUGCAGCUGUACUUCUGGAAGGACAGAGAAUUCCACGAACUGCAGGGAGACUUUAGUGUGCCAGAUGUGCCCAAGUCCAUGGCAUGGUGUGAAAAUUCUAUCUGCGUUGGUUUCAAGAGAGACUAUUACCUGAUCAGGGUGGAUGGAAAGGGGUCCAUCAAAGAGCUCUUCCCAACAGGAAAGCAGCUGGAGCCCUUAGUUGCCCCUCUGGCAGAUGGAAAAGUGGCUGUGGGUCAGGAUGAUCUGACUGUGGUGCUUAACGAGGAAGGCAUCUGCACUCAGAAAUGCGCCCUGAACUGGACAGACAUCCCAGUGGCCAUGGAGCACCAGCCUCCAUACAUUGUUGCAGUGUUGCCACGAUACGUGGAGAUCCGAACACUGGAACCAAGGCUUCUGGUCCAAAGCAUUGAGUUGCAAAGGCCUCGCUUCAUUACAUCAGGGGGAUCAAACAUUAUCUAUGUGGCCAGCAAUCAUUUUGUUUGGAGACUCAUUCCUGUCCCCAUGGCAACCCAAAUCCAACAGCUUCUCCAGGACAAGCAGUUUGAAUUGGCUCUGCAGCUCGCGGAGAUGAAAGAUGACUCAGACAGUGAAAAGCAGCAGCAGAUCCAUCACAUUAAGAACUUGUAUGCCUUCAACCUCUUCUGCCAGAAGCGCUUUGAUGAGUCCAUGCAGGUCUUUGCUAAACUUGGCACAGAUCCCACCCAUGUGAUGGGCUUGUACCCCGACCUACUGCCCACGGACUACAGGAAGCAACUGCAGUACCCCAACCCGCUGCCCACACUCUCUGGUGCUGAACUGGAGAAGGCUCACUUAGCUCUCAUUGACUACCUGACACAGAAACGGAGCCAGUUGGUAAAGAAGCUGAAUGACUCGGAUCACCAGUCCAGCACCUCCCCGCUCAUGGAGGGCACUCCCACCAUCAAGUCCAAGAAGAAGUUACUUCAGAUCAUUGACACCACUCUGCUCAAGUGCUACCUCCAUACAAAUGUGGCCCUGGUGGCUCCCUUGCUGCGCCUGGAGAACAACCACUGUCAUAUCGAGGAGAGUGAGCAUGUGCUGAAGAAGGCUCACAAGUACAGCGAGCUGAUCAUCCUGUAUGAGAAGAAGGGGCUCCAUGAGAAAGCUCUGCAGGUGCUAGUGGACCAGUCCAAGAAAGCAAACUCACCUUUGAAAGGCCACGAGAGGACGGUGCAGUAUCUGCAGCAUUUAGGCACAGAAAACCUUCAUCUGAUUUUUUCCUACUCAGUCUGGGUGCUGAGAGACUUCCCAGAAGAUGGCCUGAAGAUAUUCACUGAAGACCUCCCGGAGGUAGAGUCUCUGCCACGAGAUCGAGUACUCAACUUCUUGAUAGAGAAUUUCAAGGCUCUAGCCAUUCCUUAUCUGGAACACAUCAUCCACGUGUGGGAGGAGACAGGCUCACAGUUCCACAAUUGCCUGAUCCAGCUGUACUGUGAGAAAGUGCAGAGUCUGAUGAAAGACUACCUUCUGUCGCUGCCCACAGGUAAAAGUCCAGUCCCUGCUGGAGAGGAAGGAGGUGAACUGGGAGAAUACCGACAGAAGCUGCUCAUGUUCUUGGAGAUUUCCAGCCACUAUGAUCCAGGCCGGCUCAUCUGUGAUUUUCCCUUUGAUGGCCUCUUAGAAGAGCGAGCUCUCCUGUUGGGGCGCAUGGGGAAGCACGAACAAGCUCUCUUCAUCUAUGUCCACGUCUUGAAGGACACAAAGAUGGCUAAGGAGUACUGCCACAAACACUACGACCAAAACAAAGAAGGCAACAAAGAUGUGUAUCUGUCCCUGCUUCGGAUGUACCUGUCACCUCCAAGCAUUCACUGCCUGGGGCCAAUCAAACUGGAGCUCCUGGAGCCACAGGCCAACCUCCAGGCUGCCCUGCAAGUCCUAGAGCUGCACUACAGCAAAUUAGACACCACCAAGGCAAUCAACCUUCUGCCAGCAAACACUCAGAUCAAUGACAUACGCAUCUUUCUAGAAAAGGUCUUAGAAGAAAAUGCACAAAAGAAACGGUUCAAUCAAGUGCUUAAGAAUCUUCUCCAUGCGGAGUUCCUCAGGGUUCAGGAAGAGCGAAUUUUACACCAGCAGGUGAAGUGCAUCAUCACUGAGGAGAAGGUGUGCAUGGUAUGCAAGAAGAAGAUUGGGAACAGUGCAUUUGCAAGAUACCCCAAUGGGGUGGUUGUGCACUACUUCUGCUCCAAAGAGGUAAACUCAGCCGACACCUGAGCCCGGCAGCCCAAGCACUCAGCAGUGGACAGCUCAGCUUUCCCAGAGAGUUGAAGGAGCAGCCACCUUGAGAACCGUGCACUGCUACCAGGGACGAUGCUGGCCACCUUGCUCUCUGGAACAUCUCCGAAUUAACUGGACUUGUGACCUGGCAUUGCCGGCUUUUUACUAGAAGAGAUUAGUUAUAUCUUACGCUGUUAUGUUGCAGACAAUUCCAGGAGUUUAACCCCUGCUUGGACAGGAGGAAAUGCACCAUCUUGCCUUUGUAUACCAAUCAUCUGGACAAGGAGAUUUCAUCUCAAGUGUUUGUACCCAUGGGGUUGUUGACUGUGAGUUUUCUAUUACAAUAACUACACAGCUUCACAAGAUUCCCCCAGCAUGGCGGCCUGGAGAGUCCCAUGGGAGCCCAGCACUAGAGCUUGCCAGCCCACUGACCGCAGGCUGUUUAUACUGCCAGUGUUUUCUCCAGGAGUCUCCCUGCUUAUCCCUUCCGUUUUCAGUCGCCUUUUCUUCCUCACUAUUUAUUUUACCCCUGGAUCUCUUCCCUUGUACCGUCCACGCUUCCCCUCCCACUGUGUAGAGUGGGAGGUAGAGUAACUAAUGCUUAAAUGUGGCAAAUGGGAGGCCCUGAUGAGCAGGUGUCAUGGACAUUGUAUGAAGGGUCUCAGGAGCUGAACUUUUCUACUAAGAUGUGUAGGAGAACACAAGUCUCUGUAGGUGUAGGCUUUGGUACCUCCCCGGGGCAGCACUGUGCAGGGUGUGUGGUCUAGGCAGGAUCUCUCUAGAAGUGCCUGCCUCGGCCACUCACCAGCUGCUUGGACAGGCUGUUGAUUGGACAGGCUGUUGAGUCUUUAUAGGUGAGCGCUGAGCAUCUUCCUCCACUCUAGCCACUUUCUGUCCUGUUGUUUUCCUGGCCAUAGUUGUUCCUUGGCCUUUCUUCUGCAAGACUGGAGGAUCGAGCUAGGAUAGCUUGGUAAAGUAUGUCUCACUGCACACAGGGAACAGCUGACCAGAAACCAAUAGUGAUGAGAUGGCGUGCAGGUUUGUGGGGCACUGAGGAAUGGCAAAGAGUAAUGCAGGAGCAGCUCUGUUGAGUAUGUCAGGGAGCCGGCAAGAGGUACGCAGAGCAAGAGGUACACAGCAACUUCUGGCCUUGGAGGCUACAGACACCAGGCACACACAUGCACAUACAUAUAUGCAGGCCACACACCCAUACAUAAAGUUUAAAAAAAAACAGUGCUGCCCAUGAACCCAUCUGCACCACCUUAAAAUGUACUUCCUCGGGAGUGGCACUGGGAUGCCAGGCCACUCCCCAUAGGACAGGACCAGAACUUGUGCCAUCAUGUGAGUCCUGCCCUUUUACCUGGUAGGCUUGUAGCAUCCCUUCUUAUGAACUGUGUUUGAAGCAGUAGAAUAAAGCCUGUAUUUUCUCCUGGGUGGUGUGCAUACUUAAUUCUGUUUCCCUAAACUCCAUCCUUUCUUCCCAGGAUCCUGCCCUUCAUAGAGGGAACAGGGUAGCUCCAGCCUAAGGAUGAUGGAGGCUGCUUCUCAAUAAACAUAAGUGAAAAACCAA
Molecule: RNA transcript, 4417 nt
Organism: Mus musculus (house mouse)
Lineage: Eukaryota; Metazoa; Chordata; Mammalia; Rodentia; Muridae
Gene: Vps39
Gene name: VPS39 HOPS complex subunit
Exons: 26
Source: RefSeq, marked validated